This 211-nucleotide long non-coding RNA is filed under the name Elaeis guineensis (African oil palm). Its description in RNAcentral is "long non-coding RNA (EGUI_LNC014358)". Lineage: Eukaryota; Viridiplantae; Streptophyta; Magnoliopsida; Arecales; Arecaceae. The record is from RNAcentral.
CCCGAAGAGAUUCAUUCAUAGCUAUCUGAGAGCCUUUGAAAUUAUUAUAUCUUUAAAGCAUACAUAUACAUAGAUGAAAAAAUAAUGAAAUUCAUGCUUCAUAAUCAUGCUAUUUUCAUAAGACAUAUUCAUGAAAUCAAUGCUCAUAAUAAAACAUACUUUUUCAUAUCACAUAUGCCGAUCCUUAUUUUAUGAAAAAUUAUGAUUUCAU